This 446-nucleotide ribosomal RNA is filed under the name uncultured bacterium. RNAcentral's name for it is "SSU rRNA". It matches the Rfam family "Bacterial small subunit ribosomal RNA", at positions 26 to 518 of the family's 1533-position model. The record is from RNAcentral.
AGAGCGAACGCUGGCGGCAGGCCUAACACAUGCAAGUCGAACGAAUCCUUCGGGAUUAGUGGCGGACGGGUGAGUAACACGUGGGAACGUGCCUUUUGGUUCGGAACAACUCAGGGAAACUUGAGCUAAUACCGAAUGUGCCCUUCGGGGGAAAGAUUUAUCGCCAUUAGAGCGGCCCGCGUCUGAUUAGCUAGUUGGUGAGGUAAAGGCUCACCAAGGCUACGAUCAGUAGCUGGUCUGAGAGGAUGAUCAGCCACAUUGGGACUGAGACACGGCCCAAACUCCUACGGGAGGCAGCAGUGGGGAAUCUUGCGCAAUGGGCGAAAGCCUGACGCAGCCAUGCCGCGUGAAUGAUGAAGGUCUUAGGAUUGUAAAAUUCUUUCACCGGGGACGAUAAUGACGGUACCCGGAGAAGAAGCCCCGGCUAACUUCGUGCCAGCAGCCGC